This 429-nucleotide long non-coding RNA is filed under the name Nicotiana benthamiana. RNAcentral's name for it is "long non-coding RNA (NBEN_LNC033484)". The record is from RNAcentral. Lineage: Eukaryota; Viridiplantae; Streptophyta; Magnoliopsida; Solanales; Solanaceae.
CCCAUCAUUAACUAAGGUUACCCUUUUGGGUAUCUACACAUUAGUCCUACACUUUAUAUGACAAUACAUUGGCCCCCUUAACAUAAUGUCCAUAAGANNNNNNNNNNUUGGCCCCCUUAACAUAAUGUCCAUAAGACCAUAAAAUUAGGCCAAACCAAAAGAUAGCACAUAACAUAUAAUUUAUCCAUAUAUUGUUCAUAUGUAUGUCUAUAUAAGCCCUAUAUCUUACAAUCUCCCACUUGGACGAGAUACACAAACAUAUGUACAAACCUUAGCAUUAUAUGUUACAAAUAACCUUAGGUGCGCAAAAUUGGUAUCACAAUAAAAUUGUCAUGAACAAUCUGGUCCAUCAAUCAUACCAACAUUGGAACUAAGUGCUCGUCGUUACUCAUUCGUAACUAGAACCAAUCAUAGAUCACGUAUAUCAAU